RNAcentral lists this microRNA precursor (68 nucleotides) under Microtus ochrogaster (prairie vole). RNAcentral's name for it is "miRNA (ENSMOCG00000009124.1)". The record is from RNAcentral. Lineage: Eukaryota; Metazoa; Chordata; Mammalia; Rodentia; Cricetidae.
AGGGGCCUGGGGCUAGGAGGACCAGCAGGGGCUUGGCUUUCCUGAAGCCUGCUGCCCCUUCCCUGCAG